GUUGCACAGCAUUGCAUGUAUGAUAUUAUUGUGAUAUUAUUGUGAUGUGGGCUUCAGCCCAACUGAGGCUAAGAUGGGCUAGGCCCAAUUGAUUCUGUUAUGGGCUGUGACCCAAAUGAUAUUGUAACGGGCUUUGGCCCACGUAUGCUCUAAACUGGAUUUUACUAUUACUGUAAUGGGCUCCGGCCCAGACUGAUUCUAAAUUCUGUCUAUUUACUGACUGUUACUCUAGUAAGGGGAUUACACACUGAGUUUUCAUAAACUCACCCCGUUUAUUAACUAUGUAGGUAAUCCGCAGCAGUAGGAGGAUCGGUGCUGCGAAGGACUCGG
This 330-nucleotide long non-coding RNA is filed under the name Gossypium barbadense (sea-island cotton). RNAcentral's name for it is "long non-coding RNA (GBAR_LNC010554)". Lineage: Eukaryota; Viridiplantae; Streptophyta; Magnoliopsida; Malvales; Malvaceae. The record is from RNAcentral.